CUACGGGAGGCAGCAGUGGGGAAUCUUGCGCAAUGGGCGAAAGCCUGACGCAGCAACGCCGCGUGGGGGAUGAAGGCUCUCGGGUUGUAAACCCCUUUCAGCAGGGACGAAAUUGACGGUACCUGCAGAAGAAGCCCCGGCUAACUACGUGCCAGCAGCCGCGGUAACACGUAGGGGGCAAGCGUUGUCCGGAUUUAUUGGGCGUAAAGAGCUCGUAGGUGGCUGAGUAAGUCGGGUGUCAAAUCCCCAGGCUCAACCUGGGUUUCCAUCCGAUACUGCUCUGGCUAGAGUCCGGUAGGGGAGCGUGGAAUUCCUGGUGUGGCGGUGAAAUGCGCAGAUAUCAGGAGGAACACCAGAGGCGAAGGCGGCGCUCUGGGCCGGUACUGACACUGAGGAGCGAAAGCGUGGGGAGCAAACGGGAUUAGAUACCCGUGUAGUCC
RNAcentral lists this ribosomal RNA (440 nucleotides) under uncultured bacterium. RNAcentral's name for it is "bacterial SSU rRNA". It matches the Rfam family "Bacterial small subunit ribosomal RNA", at positions 339 to 796 of the family's 1533-position model. The record is from RNAcentral.